CCUACGGGAGGCAGCAGUGAGGAAUAUUGGUCAAUGGACGAGAGUCUGAACCAGCCAAGUCGCGUGAAGGAUGACUGCCCUAUGGGUUGUAAACUUCUUUUAUAUGGGAAUAAAACGUUCCACGUGUGGGAUUUUGUAUGUACCAUAUGAAUAAGGAUCGGCUAACUCCGUGCCAGCAGCCGCGGUAAUACGGAGGAUCCGAGCGUUAUCCGGAUUUAUUGGGUUUAAAGGGAGCGUAGGUGGAUUGUUAAGUCAGUUGUGAAAGUUUGCGGCUCAACCGUAAAAUUGCCGUUGAAACUGGCAGUCUUGAGUACAGUAGAGGUGGGCGGAAUGCGUGGUGUAGCGGUGAAAUGCUUAGAUAUCACGAAGAACUCCGAUUGCGAAGGCAGUUCACUGGACUGCAACUGACACUGAGGCUCGAAAGUGUGGGUAUCAAACAGGAUUAGAUACCCUAGUAGUC
RNAcentral lists this ribosomal RNA (460 nucleotides) under uncultured bacterium. RNAcentral's name for it is "partial 16S ribosomal RNA". It matches the Rfam family "Bacterial small subunit ribosomal RNA", at positions 338 to 795 of the family's 1533-position model. The record is from RNAcentral.